GACGAACGCUGGCGGCGUGCUUAACACAUGCAAGUCGAACGGAAAGGCCCUGCUUUUGUGGGGUGCUCGAGUGGCGAACGGGUGAGUAACACGUGAGUAACCUGCCCUUGACUUUGGGAUAACUUCAGGAAACUGGGGCUAAUACCGGAUAGGAGCUCCUGCUGCAUGGUGGGGGUUGGAAAGUUUCGGCGGUAGGGGAUGGACUCGCGGCUUAUCAGCUUGUUGGUGGGGUAGUGGCUUACCAAGGCUGUGACGGGUAGCCGGCCUGAGAGGGUGACCGGCCACAUUGGGACUGAGAUACGGACCAGACUGCUACGGGAGGCAGCAGUGGGGAAUAUUGCACAAUGGGCGGAAGCCUGAUGCAGAAACGCCGCGUGCGGGAUGACGGCCUUCGGGUUGUAAACCGCUUUCGCCUGUGACGAAGCGUGAGUGACGGUAAUGGGUAAAGAAGCACCGGCUAACUACGUG
Molecule: ribosomal RNA, 468 nt
Filed under: uncultured bacterium
Lineage: Bacteria
Description: partial 16S ribosomal RNA
Rfam family: Bacterial small subunit ribosomal RNA
Source: RNAcentral